GACGAACGCUGGCGGCGUGCCUAAUACAUGCAAGUUGAGCGCUGAAGGUUGGUACUUGUACCAACUGGAUGAGCAGCGAACGGGUGAGUAACGCGUGGGGAAUCUGCCUUUGAGCGGGGGACAACAUUUGGAAACGAAUGCUAAUACCGCAUAAAAACUUUAAACACAAGUUUUAAGUUUGAAAGAUGCAAUUGCAUCACUCAAAGAUGAUCCCGCGUUGUAUUAGCUAGUUGGUGAGGUAAAGGCUCACCAAGGCGAUGAUACAUAGCCGACCUGAGAGGGUGAUCGGCCACAUUGGGACUGAGACACGGCCCAAACUCCUACGGGAGGCAGCAGUAGGGAAUCUUCGGCAAUGGACGAAAGUCUGACCGAGCAACGCCGCAUGAGUGAAGAAGGUUUUCGGAUCGUAAAACUCUGUUGGUAGAGAAGAACGUUGGUGAGAGUGGAAAGCUCAUCAAGUGACGGUAACUACCCAGAAAGGGACGGCUAACUACGUG
This 497-nucleotide ribosomal RNA is filed under the name uncultured bacterium. Its description in RNAcentral is "partial 16S ribosomal RNA". It matches the Rfam family "Bacterial small subunit ribosomal RNA", at positions 28 to 507 of the family's 1533-position model. The record is from RNAcentral.